Molecule: ribosomal RNA, 468 nt
Filed under: uncultured bacterium
Lineage: Bacteria
Description: partial 16S ribosomal RNA
Rfam family: Bacterial small subunit ribosomal RNA
Source: RNAcentral
GACGAACGCUGGCGGCGUGCUUAACACAUGCAAGUCGAACGGAAAGGCCCUGCUUUUGUGGGGUGCUCGAGUGGCGAACGGGUGAGUAACACGUGAGUAACCUGCCCUUGACUUUGGGAUAACUUCAGGAAACUGGGGCUAAUACCGGAUAGGAGCUCCUGCUGCAUGGUGGGGGUUGGAAAGUUUCGGCGGUUGGGGAUGGACUCGCGGCUUAUCAGCUUGUUGGUGGGGUAGUGGCUUACAAAGGCUUUGACGGGUAGCCGGCCUGAGAGGGUGACCGGCCACAUUGGGACUGAGAUACGGCCCAGACUCCUACGGGAGGCAGCAGUGGGGAAUAUUGCACAAUGGGCGGAAGCCUGAUGCAGCAACGCCGCGUGCGGGAUGACGGCCUUCGGGUUGUAAACCGCUUUCGCCUGUGACGAAGAGUGAGUGACGGUAAUGGGUAAAGAAGCACCGGCUAACUACGUG